This 520-nucleotide ribosomal RNA is filed under the name uncultured Glomus. RNAcentral's name for it is "SSU rRNA". It matches the Rfam family "Eukaryotic small subunit ribosomal RNA", at positions 569 to 1086 of the family's 1831-position model. The record is from RNAcentral. Lineage: Eukaryota; Fungi; Glomeromycota; Glomeromycetes; Glomerales; Glomeraceae.
AGCAGCCGCGGUAAUUCCAGCUCCAAUAGCGUAUAUUAAAGUUGUUGCAGUUAAAAAGCUCGUAGUUGAAUUUCGGGAUCAAUAUGUUGGUCGUGCCUUGGUACGUACUGGCAUUAUUGGUUUCUACCUUCUGAAGAACCUCGAUGUCAUUAAUUUGGUGUCUUGGGGAAUCAGGACUGUUACUUUGAAAAAAUUAGAGUGUUUAAAGCAGGCUCGCGCUUGAAUACAUUAGCAUGGAAUAAUGAAAUAGGACGUUUGAUUCUAUUUUGUUGGUUUCUAGGAUCGACGUAAUGAUUAAUAGGGAUAGUUGGGGGCAUUAGUAUUCAAUUGUCAGAGGUGAAAUUCUUGGAUUUAUUGAAGACUAACUACUGCGAAAGCAUUUGCCAAGGAUGUUUUCAUUAAUCAAGAACGAAAGUUAGGGGAUCGAAGACGAUCAGAUACCGUCGUAGUCUUAACCAUAAACUAUGCCCGACUAGGGGAUCGGAUGAUGUUAAUUUUUUAAAUGACUUCAUUUCGGCGC